UAACCAUGCAAGUCGAACGCUCACCUUCGGGUGGGAGUGGCAGACGGGUGAGUAACACGUGGGAACGUACCCUUUGGUUCGGGACAACUCUGGGAAACUGGAGCUAAUACCGGAUACGCCCUUUUGGGGAAAGGUUUACUGCCGAAGGAUCGGCCCGCGUCUGAUUAGCUAGUUGGUGGGGUAACGGCCUACCAAGGCGACGAUCAGUAGCUGGUCUGAGAGGAUGAUCAGCCACACUGGGACUGAGACACGGCCCAGACUCCUACGGGAGGCAGCAGUGGGGAAUAUUGGGCAAUGGGCGCAAGCCUGAUCCAGCCAUGCCGCGUGAGUGAUGAAGGCCUUAGGGUUGUAAAGCUCUUUUAUCCGGGACGAUAAUGACGGUACCGGAGGAAUAAGCCCCGGCUAACUUCGUGCCAGCAGCCGCGGUAAUACGAAGGGGGCUAGCGUUGCUCGGAAUCACUGGGCGUAAAGGGCGCGUAGGCGGCGUUUUAAGUCGGGGGUGAAAGCCUGUGGCUCAACCACAGAAUGGCCUUCGAUACUGGGACGCUUGAGUCUGGUAGAGGUUGGUGGAACUGC
RNAcentral lists this ribosomal RNA (576 nucleotides) under uncultured bacterium. Its description in RNAcentral is "bacterial SSU rRNA". It matches the Rfam family "Bacterial small subunit ribosomal RNA", at positions 49 to 670 of the family's 1533-position model. The record is from RNAcentral.